Molecule: long non-coding RNA, 411 nt
Organism: Clarias gariepinus (North African catfish)
Lineage: Eukaryota; Metazoa; Chordata; Actinopteri; Siluriformes; Clariidae
Exons: 3
Source: RefSeq, a predicted model, not a curated record
CAAUGAAUCCCUUUUUUAGUUCAGGUGUUUAUCUAUUCCAUCAUGCAAGACCGUGGAUGACAUCAUUGUUUUUGCAUCCUGAGAGAACCAUGAUGAGCUGAUAUGUGAUGUACUUCUAUUUGCUCGGUAAAAAACUGUUUGUGGGAAUUUCAGUCCGGAACUAUUGAGCUACUACAGUCAAAAGGCAUCAGAGAACUGCAUGCAUCAGCUGAGUCCAAGACCAUCUUUGUGGUCAAGUGGAAUUGUCCCCAGUCAUCACACACAUCCCCAACAGGACGAAUGGGCUCAUCCUCAGCAGCGAGCCAAAGGCUUUCAUGCGACCAGAACUCCAACCAGAAGCAGGGUAUCAGCUAAUAUUACAGUCAUGAGUAAAGGUUUUGGGGAUAUAAGCCAUAACUUAAUACUGAUUUG